This 867-nucleotide ribosomal RNA is filed under the name Proteus mirabilis. RNAcentral describes it as "bacterial LSU rRNA". It matches the Rfam family "Bacterial large subunit ribosomal RNA", at positions 997 to 1850 of the family's 2925-position model. The record is from RNAcentral. Lineage: Bacteria; Pseudomonadati; Pseudomonadota; Gammaproteobacteria; Enterobacterales; Morganellaceae.
GCUAACGUCCGUCGUGAAGAGGGAAACAACCCAGACCGCCAGCUAAGGUCCCAAAGUCAUGGUUAAGUGGGAAACGAAGUGGGAAGGCUCAGACAGCCAGGAUGUUGGCUUAGAAGCAGCCAUCAUUUAAAGAAAGCGUAAUAGCUCACUGGUCGAGUCGGCCCGCGCGGAAGAUGUAACGGGGCUAAACCAUGCACCGAAGCUGCGGCAGCGACACAAAGUGUUGUUGGGUAGGGGAGCGUUCUGUAAGCCUGCGAAGGUGUACUGUGAGGUAUGCUGGAGGUAUCAGAAGUGCGAAUGCUGACAUAAGUAACGAUAAUGCGGGUGAAAAACCCGCACGCCGGAAGACCAAGGGUUCCUGUCCAACGUUAAUCGGGGCAGGGUGAGUCGACCCCUAAGGCGAGGCUGAAAAGCGUAGUCGAUGGGAAACGGGUUAAUAUUCCCGUACUGGUGGUAACUGCGAUGGGGGAACGGAGAAGGCUAGGUUGUCCGGGCGACGGUCGUCCCGGUUCAAGCAGGUAGGCAGAGUGAUUAGGCAAAUCCGGUCACUUAAUGCUGAGAUGUGAUGACGAACCACCAAGGUGGUGAAGCAAUUGAUGCCCCGCUUCCAGGAAAAGCCUCUAAGCUUCAGGUUACCAACAAUCGUACCCCAAACCGACACAGGUGGUCAGGUAGAGAAUACUCAGGCGCUUGAGAGAACUCGGGUGAAGGAACUAGGCAAAAUGGUGCCGUAACUUCGGGAGAAGGCACGCUGGCGGUAGGUAAAGUCCCUCGCGGACGGCGCUGAAGCCAGUCGAAGAUACCAGCUGGCUGCAACUGUUUAUUAAAAACACAGCACUGUGCAAACACGAAAGUGGACGUAUACGG